AUUGAACGCUGGCGGCAGGUCUAUCACAUGCAAGUCGAACGAGUGGCGGACGGGUGAGUAAUGUCUGGGAAACUGCCUGAUGGAGGGGGAUAACUACUGGAAACGGUAGCUAAUACCGCAUACCAUCAGAUUGGCCCAGAUGGGAUUAGCCGGUUGGUGGGGUAACGGCCUACCAAGGCGACGACCCCUAGCGGGUCUGAGAGGAUGACCAGCCACACUGGAACUGAGCCACGGUCCAGACUCCUACGGGAGGCAGCAGUGGGGAAUAUGGCACAAAGGGCGCAAGCCUGAUACAGCCAUGCCGCGUGUAUGAAGAAGGCCUUCGGGUUGGAAAGUACUUUCAGCGUGGCGGCGUUACCCGCAGAAGAAGCACCGGCUAACUCCGUGCCAGCAGCCGCGGUAAUAC
Molecule: ribosomal RNA, 406 nt
Filed under: uncultured bacterium
Lineage: Bacteria
Description: partial 16S ribosomal RNA
Rfam family: Bacterial small subunit ribosomal RNA
Source: RNAcentral